Long non-coding RNA from Triticum dicoccoides, 2840 nucleotides. RefSeq lists it as uncharacterized. Lineage: Eukaryota; Viridiplantae; Streptophyta; Magnoliopsida; Poales; Poaceae. The record is from RefSeq and is a predicted model, not a curated record. The transcript has 4 exons.
GCGGCGGCGGAACCAGGCCGGCGAUGGAGGAGCGGCCACACGGGACGACGACAUCGGCGGCGGCGCUCUGGGGGCACGCGCACCUCCCGCCGCUGGCCCGCGCGCGCGGGCCAAGGACUCGGUAGAGUACAUCCUGCGGGCACUCUGGCGCACCCCAGCCUCGACGCCGCCGACCGCGCCGUCGUCCGUGACAUCCUCCAGCUCCCCUCCGAGAUACCGAAGCUUUUCCCUCAGGAGGUGCCGCCCCAGCUGUAAAGGUUGCUCACUCUGCUUCUGCACAAGUUUCAGCCGAAAUGGCGAGAGGACGCCUCAAAGAUUCAGGUAACGUAGAGCAACGAGAGGACGCCUUUAUUUAUUCAUUUUUCAUCUCAAAAUUAUGCAGUUGAUCCAACGGUAGUUAUCACAAAUUAUUCCAAAAGUUUCUGUAGUCGUUUAGUUUCACAAGUUACAAGAGCCUCAAGCUGUUCAGUACUGCGGUCAAUAGUUAGCCUGUUCUUAGCUUAAUCUUUUUGUCGGUGUCUCUGUAGUGAUGCCGACAGAAAAUCUGCGCCUCAGUUUAGCGCGAUGCGUUAUUUUGUAGGCACCCAUGCGAAAUUCAGACACAGCGAAAAGCCAUCUUGAGUACAAAAUCAAGAAGCGCCAGAGCAACCAGCGACAACGCAGGACAUCGUCAGCAAAGGUCUUGUCUGAAUCAGGAGAGAAAGACGCGAAGCACCAAUUAGCUAAGGAUUCUUUAGACAAAAUGCUCAAGGACAUAUACACAAUCAGGGAGGGACAUGGAGAAGCAGCAAAAAGCACUUAGGAAAGGAUGAUUUUGCUCCUCUGUUUUCUAGCUCUCAGGACAUUUUUCAUCAGCAAAGCACUUCAGAAAUGAUGCCAAAGUUGCAUUUCUUACAUGAAGCGGAGCUCUCUAAACAAGUGGAAGCACACCAAAGUAUGGUCUCACAUUCCAAACUAUGGUGUGUGUGCAUGACGUGUUCAUGCAAAACGUCACCUUGGAUUCUCUCCUUCAAGAUAAUCUACUCCUGUGCUUUGAUGCAGCAAUGCAUCCAUUUUGUAACUUUUAACCUCAUGUCGCGUUCGUUUUUGUUUUAUUUCAAUGCAUCUUCAUUUUCUCAUCUUGCUGUUGCUAAUUUCCUAAUUUGUAUUUGUUUUAUUUCAUUGUAUGCACCACGAAUUGCUCAUCUUGCUGUCGAGACAAACCUUCAAGCUACAACGCAAGGAAGAAAAAAGAGGUGCAUUGUAUUUUCUAUUGUUUCUAGCAUUUUUCCUUUUUAUCACUGCAGAUCAUAUCCUGUUUAGGACAGGUUGAGAGGUAACAUCCCUACUCACUCGUCAAAUAAAGAGAAGUAGAACUCUUUAUUCUUGAUGUAAUACAUGCCUGUAUUCCAAUAAGUAUUUGGGAUGGGAUCACACAGUUCUGUAGUUACUGAAGUCCAAUUAUUCAUGUGUACUUUAUGGGACGAAAUAACUCACCUUGGUGUUGUUCUUCCUACACUCCUGGACAUUUUACAGCCGUCCUUUCAAAAGCCUCUACUGAUGUGAAUUCAGAAAAGCAUUUUUUUUGUUUCCUCACAUCCUAUAUGUCUGCUGACUUACUGAGGUACUUUCAGAUUGGUGCUGACCUAUGACUACGAUCAACCGAGAGCUUUUGCCGAGGUACUAUAAUUAACAGACUAGUUAUAGUUUGGGCUUUUGUUUGAAUAGGUAAUAGGAAAUUAUUUGAAUGUUUCUAUAUUCUUGGUUAAUCGUCAUAUACUUGAAUCGCAUAUCAUUGUGCUUUUGUUUGAUGCUGAUGUGUUUGCUUGACUGAAAGUUUUGAAGCUAUGUGAUGAGGGCAAUACUGAGCAGCAAAAAGAUAUACAUAAUUGUAACAGGACAGGUGUGUUGUUGAUGACAACUUUUUUGAUGAUGCUGUUGAUGAUAGUACAAACUCUUUAGUGGAGGGCACCAUCAAAGAACUUUACGAAGCAAGUAUCAAUGAAGGGGAUGAGGCUGAUGGUGCUACUACUAUUGCUGCACUUCACGACUUUACGAUACAAGCUCAUUGGAUGAGUACACCAACAUAAGAUCAGCUAGGAUGUAGUGAGGAAGCAAAACACGCGAUGCUUUUAUGGCCAUGCUCAUGAGCUCCAAACAGCAAAGCAACAAGUAAAAAUGGAUUUGGUGAGCUUGAAGAUGCUGUUAUGGCCAGGCUGCAAGUCCUGAAAAGAUGCGAACCUAACAAUAGCAACGUCGUGAAUGGGGGACAAGAGGUUUUCCAUUCCAAUGAUUGGGUGUGUCGCUUUGAAAGAAAACAACCUGACCGCGGCGCGCGUGAGGAGCUAAUUCAGAAGACCGAUUUGCCUGAUGCUGUUGAAUACUGAUUUGCCUGGUGAUGCUGGGUGCAGAGCCUUAUCUGAUGAAGUGGAUAGCAGAACCGCAAGGCAGUACGUCAGUACACAUUACUUGAGGAGUCUCAGGAAACCUGCAAAUGUGAAUUUGCAUGAGAAGCAGCUAAGCUUAAGCCACUCACCGUCAGAAUGGGAGCAUGUACUGAAGGAGGACCUUUUCCUCCCAGGAAACCCAUUGAAGUGAAAGGCAUAUGCUCUCCCCUUGGUUUAGUUCGAAAAUCUUGUUGUGAUGCACACAUAUAGGUAUGUUCUUAACUUAAAUGUAUGCAGAUUGCGACAUAAGCAGCAGGAUCAAGCGUCGUAGUAGCUAGCUGGUGCCUAAAAUAAUGUCAGCUCUGUGUAAUAUAUGUUGCCUGCGGUAUCUGGUUGUAUGCCUGAAAGGAUCAUGCACAGUACCCGAACAUUUGUGCCAUCUUAACAUGUGAUGUGAUCUUUAAUGCCUGUAUA